RNAcentral lists this long non-coding RNA (1165 nucleotides) under Apteryx rowi (Okarito brown kiwi). Its description in RNAcentral is "lncRNA (ENSARWG00000004138.1)". Lineage: Eukaryota; Metazoa; Chordata; Aves; Apterygiformes; Apterygidae. The record is from RNAcentral.
UUGUUAAGGAAAUUCUGGUUAUACUUCAUAACGCUGGGACUGGUUGUAUUUCCUCAGGAUGAUGAUAACAUGCCAAAAUUUUGGUCAUACUUAACAAGACGACUCCAUUUAAUUUUAACCCUGCACACAUUGAACAUAGCUACAGCACGAUCCUGGAGGAGAGUGUUUCAGGCAGAAAACAAAGAAUUAAGCUUUCCUUCACUAUUUUGUUUUCUCCAUAAAAGCACUUAAAAGAGCAGUUGCUGGAGGGGUGGAAGUUGGAGACGCUUUUGGAAGGCAAGUCUCUACACAAGUAGGAAAACUGUUGUGUGGUUCCUCUUUAUUAUGGUAAUUUGUUUGUGUUGAUAAGCACAUUCUUCUGCCCUAAAAACAAAUAUAGGGAACAACAAGGUUUUUGUUGUCCAGGUGUGGAGGAUUUUUUGUUUUGUUUGCUGAGCAUCUUCACCGAGAUGAAAUAGAUAUCAGUAGGUGAAAAAUGUACUAAGAUGACAUGUUUUUGCCUCCACCUAAAUCAUGGUGAACUGUAAAAGCACUUUUUGGCAGUCAAUGCAUUGUCUAGUGCAGACAGUACUUGUACAGAUGACUAACGCUUACUUUUUUUGAACAUCUCCACUUGCUUGCUCGCGUCAGGAUCAAGUUCCUGGGAUUUAUCUUUCAUCCAAAGCAAAGCUUCUCUGUGUUUUGUGCAGGCUUUGUUCCAUAAGGCAUCAGAUACACAGUUUUGUGGCUAAAUGUUGCUAAUUCCUGUGCAAGUGAGACAAGGGCCAAUCUGCAGGUAAAAGAGAGAAAAAAGUAAAAUAUGUAAAGGUCCAAGUGACCAGAAUGUUUGGGGGAAACACGAGAGAAGUGGACUGUAACUACAGUAUAGUUAAAAUUGCAACUUUUAGCAUUCAUGUUUGUCAGUGUUCUCACACAGGCUCACCUCAUUGCCUUGUUAGCACAUGGCAAGAACAGUAGUAAAUGCUGAGCUAACAGUUGAUACAUAAAAUCAAAUUUCUUCCAAUCUAUACCYCUAAGUGUAAAAGUACCAGAGAUGCAUAUUCCAUGAAUGUAACCUUCCUUAACAGGAACCUCCUUGCACACUCAUGGUCUACAGGGCGCCCAAACACUGCAAAUGCCCAGUUUAAGCAAUGCUCGUUUUCUCUCCACCUUCUUCUGUCCAAAA